RNAcentral lists this ribosomal RNA (406 nucleotides) under uncultured bacterium. RNAcentral describes it as "partial 16S ribosomal RNA". It matches the Rfam family "Bacterial small subunit ribosomal RNA", at positions 30 to 526 of the family's 1533-position model. The record is from RNAcentral.
AUUGCACGCUGGCGGCAGGCCUAACACAUGCAAGUCGAACGAGUGGCGGACGGGUGAGUAAUGUCUGGGAAACUGCCUGAUGGAGGGGGAUAACUACUGGAAACGGUCGCUACUACCGCCUACCAUCGGAUGUGCACAGAUGGGAUUAGCUGGUAGGUGGGGGAAAGGCUCACCAAGGCGACGAUCCCUAGCUGGUCUGAGAGGAUUACCAGCCACACUGGAACUGAGACACGGUCCAGACUCCUAAGGGAGUCAGCAGGGGGGAAUAUUGCACAAUGGGAGCAAGCCUGAUGCAGCCAUGCCGCGUGUAUGAAGAAGGCCUUCGGGUUGUAAAGCACUUUCAGCGGGGAGGCGUUACCCGCAGAAGAAGCACCGGCUAACUCCGUGCCAGCAGCCGCGGUAAUAC